AUUGAACGCUGGCGGCAGGCCUAACACAUGCAAGUCGAGCGGUUGAGGUAGCUCGCUACCGAUGCAGCGGCGAACGGGUGAGUAAUACAUGGGAAUCUGCCUGGUAGUGGGGGACAACGUUUCGAAAGGAACGCUAAUACCGCAUACGCCCUACGGGGGAAAGGGGGGGAUCGCAAGACCUCCCGCUAUCAGAUGAGCCC
Molecule: ribosomal RNA, 200 nt
Filed under: uncultured bacterium
Lineage: Bacteria
Description: partial 16S ribosomal RNA
Rfam family: Bacterial small subunit ribosomal RNA
Source: RNAcentral